GACGAACGCUGGCGGCGUGCUUAACACAUGCAAGUCGAACGGAAAGGCCCUGCUUUUGUGGGGUGCUCGAGUGGCGAACGGGUGAGUAACACGUGAGUAACCUGCCCUUGACUUUGGGAUAACUUCAGGAAACUGGGGCUAAUACCGGAUAGGAGCUCCUGCUGCAUGGUGGGGGUUGGAAAGUUUCGGCGGUUGGGGAUGGACUCGCGGCUUAUCAGCUUGUUGGUGGGGUAGUGGCUUACCAAGGCUUUGACGGGUAGCCGGCCUGAGAGGGUGACCGGCCACAUUGGGACUGAGAUACGGCCCAGACUCCUACGGGAGGCAGCAGUGGGGAAUAUUGCACAAUGGGCGGAAGCCUGAGGCAGCAACGCCGCGUGCGGGAUGACGGCCUUCGGGUGGUAAACCGCUUUCGCCUGUGACGAAGCGUGAGGGACGGUAAUGGGUAAAGAAGCACCGGCUAACUACGU
This 467-nucleotide ribosomal RNA is filed under the name uncultured bacterium. Its description in RNAcentral is "partial 16S ribosomal RNA". It matches the Rfam family "Bacterial small subunit ribosomal RNA", at positions 28 to 506 of the family's 1533-position model. The record is from RNAcentral.